ACAGAGAAAUAAAUUUGAAAGUUAUCAUUCCACCUCCCUCCCCAUUAAGGGAGAUAAUCAUUUGACUCUGGUAAUGUAUAAUACAUAAUUGCAUUUCUCUUCUUCUUACUUUUCCGUAAAGAAAGUUUAUGGGAUGUUGCAAUUAUAUUUUUAUCAGUACUCAAUCAAGAUUCAAGUUGUGACCUUUGGAAUUUCAAAUGAUUUUACACUGCAUAGAUGUGUACAUUGUACCAUGCAUCUAUCAUUAUUUAAAAUUGUACGGAUGUUGAUAUUUAUUUACAAUCAACAUUGCCUAAACACAGUUAGGUCUUCAGAUCACCACUUGAAUUUUAUAGCUACUCAAGAUUAGACCAAAACAUGUUCCUUAAUGAGAAACCAUCCUUGUCGUCUUGCUUGCUACUCCUGCUACUACUGCUUAUGCUAGAGUUUGUAUUUGACAAAGUAGUUAAUUGAGAAGAUGCUAUUUUGAGGAUUCAAUUGUCACCAGGCAGUGGCUCCAAUUUAUCAUCUUAGUGUCUCCAAGGUUUCUGGAUUCACAGGUCGCCCUGAAUUAUCUCUUGCAUACAUACAGCUGGCAUGGAACCCUUAGAAAAUCUAUCCUUCAAACUAUUGACUCCAUUUGCUCUCUGCCACUGGCAUCUGUUGACAAUAAAUGGAAAACAAAGUUAGCACUGCAAGCCAUAAAUACAGUAACUACAUCUCCCUCUAUCAACCAAUGUGACAUCUUCAUUCGAUUAGAGUGUACACAAUCUUAUUCCUGUGUCAAAAGCGAAUAUAACAAAUAUAUGAGUUGUUUAAUAUUACACUUCUACUCAAACGUCAAUUUAGAUAGUAAUAUAAUCAGUAUAAUCUAAUAAAUAAAGUCAAAAAAGGACUCUUCUGAUAUCUGCUAACAAUCCUACCCUGUUUUGAGUAGUAAUAUCCAACAUCAAUUUCUGUACAGAUCAUAUAGUCACCUAAUAUAUUUCGUUAGUGCACUUUAUUAUAGGUAAGGGGUAAAAUAGAUUAUAAAGAAAUAGUAAACAGUGUGCUAGUUAAUCCAUUUCGAAAAUGUAUUGUGUACUUAGGCAUAUGCUUCAAGGAAUCUGGUAAUAUUGUUUUCCAAUACAAGUUAACUAUUUCAGUAUUCAUGUUGUCGUCCUUUCCAAUUUCUGAUCUUUUGUUACAAGCUUCUGCUAUGCCCAUAGUCCAUAGAAGGUCCGAACCACAAGCGUUUAUUCUAUAUGUAGAAACUAAAACUAAUUAAUCUCUAUGAAGAUACAAGAGUAUUCAGUUGAUAUACAAUAUAAUCAAAGACCAUCACACUCUCAAAGGACAUAGAAACUUGUUCAUCAGUUAAACUUGUUAAAAGAACACACAUUGUAUUCAUUUUUCCCAAACACAUCAUUCACACCUUAUAUAACCCACAUUACUAUUCUCAACUCGAUUCAUUCCGGAAUCAAGAACUGAUUUUUCUAUAUCAAUUUAUUUUGACUUUCAUCAUUUCAGAAGUAAUAUUGCCAACCUAAAACGCCCCAAAUUUCUAAAGUCCAUUCAGCUCUGCCAUAUUAGAAUCAACUAAGCCAGAGGAUCCAGGAGACGAAUACAAACUAAACCUUGCUUUACACAAUAAUGCCAACAUAAAGAUAAUUAACUGAUAUUUUACCUUGUUGAGUUUGAGAGACCAGGAAUGGAGUUUGCAAAAGUAGUUGAACAACUCCGUAGAGGAAAUCCAAAUCAACAGUUACUACAUCCAAUCUUUUGCAGCUACAGUAAAACUUGGCUAUAGACACUACUUCUAUCCACUAAAAAGGACCACUGUUAUUUUCUAAAUAAUGGAAUAUUUUAAGUUAUACAUUGAUCAUCAAUUUAGAUGUAAAACUUGGCCAUAGACACUACUUCUAUCCACUAAAAAGGACCACUGUUAUUUUCUAAAUAAUGGAAUAUUUUAAGUUACACAUUGAUCACCAAUUUAGAUGUAAAACUUGGCCAUAGACACUACUUCUAUCCACUAGAAAGGACCACUGUUAUUUUCUAAAUAAUGGAAUAUUUUAAGUUACACAUUGACCAUCAAUUUUGAUGCAAAAGCAAGAAGCAGUAUGUUUUGGUUUCAAACAUAACAAUAAACAAUGGUUUCUUGUAUAAUAUGGAUAUGCCAUAUUACCUUGUACAAAAAUAGUUUUUUAUUUUCAUAAUAUUUGCAUAUAUAGAUAUAUUUUGACAUAAAAAAAAAACAAUAUCAAAAUUGUUUUCUUCAUUGACUAUAUAUAUAUAUAUAUAGCUAUUAAAAUUACCUCGUUUUUCCUCCUUACACAUUUCUUCUUUUACUUCUACUAUUUUAUGUUGUCUGCCUCCUAAUCUCUUUGCUUAACUCCAAAAAACUUAGAAUGUGAUUCCAUUUUUAACUACUCUUCUUCUUCCUGCUAAUGUUCUGCAAUAAUAAAAAAAUAAUUCUUCAGAUAACUCCUACUAAUAUUUCAUUAUAUAAUUACUAUCACCAACUCAAUAAAUUAAAUAUAUAGGCAAAUAAAAAACGAAAGAGGUGACAAAAUGCACAUCCAAUAAAAGAGACUGAAAUAAAUGGUAAAAGAAUAUUACGUAAGAAGCAAUAUAAAAAAUUGCUCUAAGUGAUGCAUCGUCUCAAACUUUGAGUUUGUAAACGGAUUAAAUCAAAUAUAGCAUAGGACUUGAUUAAAUAUCCAUCAAAACUAUUAUAUAUCCAACACAAAUUUAAAUCAACACCACAUAGAGAACUUUUCAUCAUGCUGGAAAUAUAAGGAUAUUGAUAAUAUACAUUAGAAGGGAAUUGUCAUAGAAGAGCAAACCUAUAUCAAGGUCAUGAAUGUCAUCAAGCACAAUAUCAUGGGCCUAUUUUAGUAAUAAGUUCUGCAUCUAUGUACAACUAUAAACGUGAUUAGUAAGAAUAAAACUCAAUUAAAAGAAAUAUAGACAAUGUAAAAUUGAAUAUGGGAAUGAUUCACUACUCAUCUAUAUAUACAACCAGAACUGAGGUAUGAAAGGGGCAAAUAAAUCAGCAGAGUAUUUAUCACUAAUUAUCAGAGAUUUAUACACAAUUUAAGACAUUACAGUUACAAAUAAGGAAGAUGAAGCAAUGCGGUUUAUGGAAAACGUACCUUUGGUUGUUUGGAGGGAGAAGGUCGCAAUAAUUUGGAACGUGUGGAUGUGAGAAGAACAACUCCUUGGAGGGAGAAGCUCACCAGGAAUUGGAAAAGUCUGAGGUAAAAAGAACGUUUGGGCUGGGUCAUUAUUGUUGUGGACGUGGGCUGGGCUUUACUGUAAUAUAUUAUUAUCUGAUUUAAUAGGUGACAUGUGGGCUGGAGCUAAACAAUUAAUUUGUUAUGUUAUUUAUUUAGCUAUUAUAAUAUAUGGAGGGG
RNAcentral lists this long non-coding RNA (3374 nucleotides) under Solanum tuberosum (potato). Its description in RNAcentral is "long non-coding RNA (STUB_LNC003608)". The record is from RNAcentral. Lineage: Eukaryota; Viridiplantae; Streptophyta; Magnoliopsida; Solanales; Solanaceae.